GAUGCCAAGAUGGCUGCUACAUACGCACCCAAAGACA
RNAcentral lists this transfer RNA (37 nucleotides) under Curruca cantillans (Eastern subalpine warbler). RNAcentral's name for it is "partial tRNA-Phe". The record is from RNAcentral. Lineage: Eukaryota; Metazoa; Chordata; Aves; Passeriformes; Sylviidae.